This 82-nucleotide transfer RNA is filed under the name Fidelibacterota bacterium. Its description in RNAcentral is "tRNA-Leu". It matches the Rfam family "tRNA". From Rfam's summary of the family: Transfer RNA (tRNA) molecules are approximately 80 nucleotides in length. Lineage: Bacteria; Pseudomonadati; Fidelibacterota. The record is from RNAcentral.
GCCGUGGUGGUGGAAUUGGUAGACACGCUGGAUUUAGGAUCCAGUGCCAUUAGGCGUCAGAGUUCGAGUCUCUGCCGCGGCA